AUGAACGCUAGCUACAGGCUUAACACAUGCAAGUCGAGGGGCAGCAUGGUCGAAGCUUGCUUCGACUGAUGGCGACCGGCGCACGGGUGCGUAACGCGUAUCGAACCUGCCCUGUACACGGGGAUAGCCUUGCGAAAGUAAGAUUAAUACCCGAUGCCAAGUUGAGAUCGCAUGAUUUGAUUUGAAAGAAAUUCGGUAUGAGAUGGGCCCGCGGCGCAUUAGCUAGUUGGUGAGGUAACGGCUCACCAAGGCGACGAUGCGUAGCCGACCUGAGAGGGUGAUCGGCCACAUUGGGACUGAGACACGGCCCAGACUCCUACGGGAGGCAGCAGUGGGGAAUAUUGGUCAAUGGGCGAGAGCCUGAACCAGCCAAGUAGCGUGCAGGACGACGGCCCUAUGGGUUGUAAACUGCUUUUAUAAGGGAAUAAAGUGAGUCUCGUGAGACUUUUGCAUGUACCUUAUGAAUAAGGACCGGCUAAUUCCGUG
RNAcentral lists this ribosomal RNA (486 nucleotides) under uncultured bacterium. RNAcentral describes it as "bacterial SSU rRNA". It matches the Rfam family "Bacterial small subunit ribosomal RNA", at positions 29 to 507 of the family's 1533-position model. The record is from RNAcentral.